Long non-coding RNA from Cryptomeria japonica (Japanese cedar), 651 nucleotides. RefSeq lists it as uncharacterized. The transcript has 2 exons. The record is from RefSeq and is a predicted model, not a curated record. NCBI's taxonomy places the organism in Eukaryota, Viridiplantae, Streptophyta, Pinopsida, Cupressales, Cupressaceae.
GGUAUUUAAAUAUUGGAACUCUGGUGAUCUUGGGGAGCAUUUUUCAGAAAUUAUGCGAGAUGAAGAUGGAUAGAGGAUCGACACAAAAGGCGAGAGAGUCGUUGGAUUUGGUGUUUUCCAUGUCAAAUUUUAUGCAGACUAGAAUCGAUCAGCACAACCUGACGAUUCUCAUUGCACUAACCGAACAAGGAGUUAAUCCUGAAGCACUCGCUGCUGUUAUAAAGGAGCUGCGUAGGGAAGCCGCCGCCAUCAACCAACAUUCUUCGUCUUCCUCUUAACCCAAGGAUGCAUAAUUGGUGUUGGUGCAGCUUCUAGAUGGAUUUCAGAAUGCUGAAGAUUUUCUUUGAUCGUGCCUCAACUGAGUGAAGACAUUGCUUUGGCAUGGUGGACCCAUAUUAGGUCUGGUGCCUAUCUAGGUUAUGGACCGAUAUCAUGUUAACAUGUUCUCCACACAUUACCGAGAUGAUUUAUGGAUUGGUUAUUGUUGUUUUGGUCUUAAGCUGACAUGACAUAUCAUUGUAAAAUGGAUGUAUGUAAUGAUCUUAUUGUAAUAUCUUUUAGGUGGCCGAUCUAAUUGGUUUAGGCCUUAGGGUUGGUAUAAAAUAAUGUAAGAUCUCAUUAUAGAUAAUGUGUCGUUGUCUUGGAUUGCAA